Meriones unguiculatus (Mongolian gerbil) is the source of this 468-nucleotide long non-coding RNA. RefSeq lists it as uncharacterized. NCBI's taxonomy places the organism in Eukaryota, Metazoa, Chordata, Mammalia, Rodentia, Muridae. The transcript is spliced from 3 exons. The record is from RefSeq and is a predicted model, not a curated record.
CCUGUGCUUGGCAAACCGGCAGUCGUAACUCAGCAGGGACAGCAGCUUUUGAUUUCCAAGGAGCUACAUUUGUGAGGCAUGGAGGAAGGAGAAUGGAAAAAGAAAAUUCUAUGCUUCCCAUAACCAAUCAGUUCAGCCCAGACUUAUCCCAGAUGGCCGUGUCUCGUUUCCCUAAAUCCUCACUGGAGAAGAUGCCCACUAAGCUUCUUGGGAAGAAAAUAGAGAGAGAAAGGAUGAAGAAUGAAGGAUGAAAGCAAAAGUUCACUUACCACAUCUACAAAGGCGAUGGUCCUUCAACAACAAGAUCAUAAAUCCUUGAGCUUCUCUUGACGUUAUCUCUGCCGAGGUUCAGAGUUUAAGAUUGCGUUCCAUGAGCCACCGGCCGCGCCACCAAAGAGUUCCCGACUGCCAAGAUCCGCCAAGCACCCCACCCUCUGCCAGAUUGCCUUCAAACCUGUUUCUCAGAGG